AUUCAUUUAAUAUAAUAGUAUAUUUAACUUCCAAUUAAAAAGUCUGAAUAAUCAGAAUGAAUA
Molecule: transfer RNA, 63 nt
Filed under: Pharnaciini sp. NS-2020
Lineage: Eukaryota; Metazoa; Arthropoda; Insecta; Phasmatodea; Phasmatidae
Description: tRNA-Gly
Source: RNAcentral